RNAcentral lists this ribosomal RNA (241 nucleotides) under uncultured Lactobacillus sp. RNAcentral's name for it is "partial 16S ribosomal RNA". It matches the Rfam family "Bacterial small subunit ribosomal RNA", at positions 122 to 355 of the family's 1533-position model. Lineage: Bacteria; Bacillati; Bacillota; Bacilli; Lactobacillales; Lactobacillaceae. The record is from RNAcentral.
CAACCUGCCCCAAGAGAUCGGGAUAACACCUGGAAACAGAUGCUAAUACCGGAUAACAACAGAUGAUGCCUAUCAACUGUUUAAAAGAUGGUUCUGCUAUCACUCUUGGAUGGACCUGCGGUGCAUUAGCUAGUUGGUAGGGUAACGGCCUACCAAGGCGAUGAUGCAUAGCCGAGUUGAGAGACUUAUCGGCCACAUUGGGACUGAGACACGGCCCAAACUCCUACGGGAGGCAGCAGUU